Molecule: long non-coding RNA, 533 nt
Filed under: Oryza brachyantha (malo sina)
Lineage: Eukaryota; Viridiplantae; Streptophyta; Magnoliopsida; Poales; Poaceae
Description: long non-coding RNA (OBRA_LNC002560)
Source: RNAcentral
CGGGUUGAAGCCCGUAGGUGCCACUUUCUUGUUAGCAGAUGGAGCGGGUUGAAGCCCGUUUAGACCAAAAAUUUAUUUUGAGAGUUCAGAUACCUAAAUAACAUAUGUUUAAGUAUGGCUGGUGCAUUUUUAUGUCUAACUAUACUCUUAGUUAAGUUACUAAGUACUAAUCGAUUAUGCAGCGGUAGUGCUUAAGACUCAAAAAAAAAUGAAGUACAUUAUAUUAGCGUAGUCGUGCAACAAUAGUGCGUGCCGUGCCCGGCCGCCGGCCUCGAGCUACGAAUCAAACGUACUUAAUCAACGAGUAGGGUAGUAAAUCUCAUCCUAAAAAGUCUCUAAACCCUGCAAUUAACAAGCUAAUUAAUCAAGUAAUUAAUCAACAAUCUACACGUACACGUACAACCACACCUCCUUUCCUCCUACCCCUACACUACUACUACAACUCAACUCGUCGGACCGGAUGACGUCGACGACGUUACACUCGCCGGCGCCCGGCGACGGCGGGCCAUCACCGCACCAGGGGAUGCAGGGCG